RNAcentral lists this long non-coding RNA (2081 nucleotides) under Brachypodium distachyon (stiff brome). Its description in RNAcentral is "long non-coding RNA (BDIS_LNC004756)". Lineage: Eukaryota; Viridiplantae; Streptophyta; Magnoliopsida; Poales; Poaceae. The record is from RNAcentral.
ACCAAACUGAGAAGUACCAAAAGUCGCAUGAGUUUGCAGACCCAAAGUCACCUCUAAUUGCAAGAAUUAGGCAAACUAUUGACUACGAGUUGCUUCACUGUUCAUUUUUUGGGUUAUAUGUUGCGUUUGCUAAUUGAACAAUUUUUUGAAUAACAGUCCCAGGAUUGAUUAUAGGCAAAUAAUCGACUAGAAGUUGCUCCACCUUCCAUGUUUUGGAUUAUAAGCUGCGUUAGCUAAUCGAACUAUUUUUUGAAUAUCACUUGCAUGGAUGAUUGGGCAAAUAAUCAACUAGGAGUUUCCCCCACUAUGCACGUUUUGGAUUAUAAGUUGCCUUAGCUAAUUGAGCUCUUUUUGAAUAGCCGUUACAUGACUUGUUAGGCAAACUAUCGACUAGUAGUUUCCUCACUCAUUCUUCUUUCUGGAUUAUAAGUUGCCUUCGCUAAUCGACCUUUUUUAAUAGAAGUUGCAUGACUGAUUAGGCAAGUUAUUGACUAGGCGUUGCUUCACUGUUCUUUUUUUUGGAUUACAAGUUGCCUUUCGACGGUAGGAAAAGUAUUGACUAUGAGUUGCUUCACUGUCUAUUUUUUGGAUUACAAGUUGCCUUUCGACGGUAGGCAAAGUAUUGACUAUGAGUUGCUUCGCUGUCCAUUUUUUGGAUUAUAAGUUGCCUUAGCUAACUGAGCUCUUUUUGAAUAACCGUUACAUGACUGGUUAGGCAAACUAUAGAUUAGUAGUUGCUUCACUCAUUCUUUUUUCGGACUAUAAGUUGCCUUCGCUAAUCGAUUUAAUUUUUAUAGAAGGUGCAUGACUUAUUAGGCAUAUUAUUGACUAGUAGUUGCUUCACUGCUCUUUUUUAUGGAUUACAAGUUGCCUUUCGACGGACUGAACCGUUUUCUGGACAGGUAUUGCAUGGAAAAUUAGAGACCAGGAGCUUUCAUCUUUUUUUUCAUUACAUCGCCUUUUUUUUCUUUUGCAUGACUGGUUAGGCAAAUUAGCGACUAGGUGUUGCUAGCAAUGUGUGACAACUAUUUUGUAAAUUACAUCUUCUUAAUUACAGGUGUUUUCGCCAAGGAUUUUGUAUAGAUGAUGGGAGUCAUAGGAAGAAAAAUCAGAAGUUGGACUACACAGCAAGGAACAAUGUUCAUAUUAAUGCAUAGUAUGUGUGUUUUUAGCUGUUUUUUUUUUUGCUAAGGAACAAAGUAGUGGGGGCACAACAUGUGGCCACCUAGUCCACAAUAUGCAGUACUGUUUGUUCUUUGUAGCUUGUAGGAACAUGUUGAUGUUUUACUUGUAAAAGGAGGAGGGUGGAUGGAUAGUCCAGAAAUUUCUUUUUGGUUUUGUAGUGAACAUAUUGAAGCAUCAUAGUAUGCAUAGUUUAUUUGCCCAUCAAAGGGUUUGCAACACUUAAUUUUCUCAUAGUUUUCUUUUGCUGACACAAAUUUCUCUGUGAACAUAAAUACUAGGAGCAUGGCCAGUUGUUGCUUGGCCCAUAUGUCAUUUUAUGGGGUUUAGGAGUAUGGAUCCAUGCCACAUUUGUUUUCUAGACAUGAUGAUUUGUGUGUUUUCCUGCAGAAAUUGGGUGCCAAAACAAAGCAUAAGUAACUUGGAUUAGGUUUUGUUUAGAGAAGUGCCUUUUCGCUUUUUCAAUACCUUCUGCAAAUCCUUUUGGGGCACCUUCUUUUUUAACUGGAUCAAGAGUUGCUUCAAGUAGGAACAGGGAGGUAAGAAGGGGGAGAAGUAAGAAACGAGCCCCUAGACAAGAGGAUGUAAUCGGGGGAGGGAUAAAAGAAGGCAACUUUUGCCUGCCAGCCAUUUUACUUGCUUCGCGUGAGCCUGAUUUUGAAGGCUACCGUGGUCCACCCGCGGGGACAAGGAACGCUGGUGCGGGAUCAGAACUCCGGAGCUGAUGCGAUUGUGAGGAAAUAAAACUUUCCGUUUUUAGAAAGGAGGGAAUCUGACUUACUAUUUUUGGGUGUGCACCCUAAGGAUCCUAACAGUGCAUGAGCACUCCCUAGCCACUUCAUCCGUCCCCCCAAUAUGGCGUCCGGCCUGCCACAUUAUUUGGCCAUAUGGGGGGGGGG